GGCUCGGUAGCUUAGUUGGUAAAGCGCUCGUCUAGCAUUAAAGAGUCCUGGGUUCAAAUCCCAGCCGAGCAC
This 72-nucleotide transfer RNA is filed under the name Aedes aegypti (yellow fever mosquito). It matches the Rfam family "tRNA". From Rfam's summary of the family: Transfer RNA (tRNA) molecules are approximately 80 nucleotides in length. Their secondary structure includes four short double-helical elements and three loops (D, anti-codon, and T loops). The record is from Rfam by way of RNAcentral. Lineage: Eukaryota; Metazoa; Arthropoda; Insecta; Diptera; Culicidae.